AGGGGGCGUCGGGGGACGCUCGACGGUGAGGGACACCAGGGGACCGUGAAGGACGCUCGAUGCCAAGGACACUGCAGGGGACACUUAAUGCCGGGGGACACUGCAGGGGACACUGGAUGCUGGGGACACCACGGGGGACGGUUGAUCUUGAGGACACCAUGUUGGGGGAUGUGGGGGGCGAUGCUCGAUGCUGGGGACACCGCAGGGGACACAUGACGCCAGGGGACACCAGGGGAUGCUCAAUGCUUGGGGACGCUGGGGGGGGGACAUCAUGCUGGUGGAUGUUAGGGGAGGCUCAAUGCUGGGGACAUAGCAGGGGACAUUUGACAUCGGGGACAUCAUGGGGGAUGCUCAAUGCUGGGGACACUGUGGGGGACAGUUGACUCUGGGGGACAUCAGGAGACACUGGGGGAUGUGGGGGGACGCUCGAUGCUAGGGACACCAUGAGGGACACUUGAUGCUGGGUGAUGUCAGAGGACACUCAAUGCUGGGGACACCACAGGGGACACUAGACACCAUGGGGACACUCAACAAGGGCAGACACUUUGAUGCUGGGGGCACUCAGUGCCAGGGAACACUUGAUACUAGGUGACACUCAAUGCUGGGGGACACCACAGGGUACUUGAUGCCAGGUGACACUUGACACCAGGGGACAUUGACACUGGGGGACACUGUGGGGGGGGUCACUCGACGCCAGGGGACGCUCAACACUGGGGGAUGCUUCAUGCCAGGGGACACACAGGGUGACAUGUGACAUUAGGGGACAGGGACACCAGGGGACACCACAGGGUCACCUCCUUGUGGUCCCGAUGUGGCAGCGAGUCCCUGUGGUGAAAGCGAGAACUCAAGGCUGAGCCAGUGGCUUCCCAGGGCCACCAGGCCACUGCCCCCCCACAGCCAGCAGCCACCUCCCCCUCUCACGGGAGUCAUGAGGCCACCACCCCCAACUGCGGUCAUGGGGCCACCUCAGCCCUGGGGCCACCUUGUUGAUAGGGUCCCUCCAUCCCUGUGGUGGCCUCAUCCUUGUGGUCACCCUGUCCCUGUGGCCACCUUGUCCUUAGGGUCACCCCCCAUCCCUGUGGCCACCUUGGCUUUGAGGGUCACCUCAUCCUUGUGGCUACCCUUUCCCCAGGGCCACCUUGUCCUUAGGGUCACCUCAUCCUUGUGGCCACCACAUCCUCAGGGCCACCAUGUCCUUGGGGGGAGGGGUCACCUCAUCCUUAGGGUCACCACAUCCCCAGGGCCACCAUGUCCUUGGGGGUCACCUCAUCCUUGUGGCCACCACAUCCUCAGGGCCACCAUGUCCUUGGGGGGAGGGGUCACCUCAUCCUUAGGGUCACCACAUCCCCAGGGCCACCAUGUCCUUGGGGGUCACCUCAUCCUUGUGGCCACCACAUCCCUGUGGCCACCACGUCCUGAGG
RNAcentral lists this long non-coding RNA (1421 nucleotides) under Struthio camelus australis. RNAcentral's name for it is "lncRNA (ENSSCUG00000002571.1)". Lineage: Eukaryota; Metazoa; Chordata; Aves; Struthioniformes; Struthionidae. The record is from RNAcentral.